This is an RNA transcript of Salvia splendens (bonfire salvia), 3465 nucleotides long. It is a transcript of the gene named putative late blight resistance protein homolog R1A-3, with no coding region annotated. The transcript is spliced from 2 exons. Lineage: Eukaryota; Viridiplantae; Streptophyta; Magnoliopsida; Lamiales; Lamiaceae. The record is from RefSeq and is a predicted model, not a curated record.
CCAACAUUGACUUUGAAGUUCUCUGUAUAAACUCUUUAACUUAGUUUUCUCAGAUCCAUUUUCUGGCAUUAUCAUUAUCAUUCUGUGUGUGCAUUUGUAGAGAGAGUUGUUAAUCAUGGCUGCUUAUGGAGCUCUGGUUUCUCUGAUGCAUAUCAUCGAAACCCUCGAGAAACAUCCUUCCCCUCCCAUUUCUAUCGACGAAAAACAAGUUCAAUCCCUCACUCAAAACAUUACCUUCUUGCAGGAUUUUCUUGAUUGCUAUAUUUCCCCUUUUGCUGAGAGCCACGAAGCUGAUCCAUUGGAGCGUCGCAUUGCUGAUGCAGUUUACGCGGCUGAGGAUGUUAUCGAAUCCCAUAUUGUGGAUCAAAUUCACAGUGGAUCCACAAUCGUUGCAGAUCAUGACUUCUAUCACAAUCUACAGAAAGUGAUAGAAGAAAUGGAUCUGAUCACCAAACAGGUGAAGAGCAUUCCAGUUGAAGCUCAGACCAAGCAGAAACCUGUUGCUGCCUUGGCGGCGUCUUCUCCUACUGUGAAAGAAAGCGUGAUCGUGGGCUCUGACGAAGUGUUUCAUGAUGUGUUGGAUAAGCUCACCAGUCAUCAACUCAACCGCCAGAUCAUCCCCAUCACCGGGAUGGGUGGCAUUGGUAAGACCACUCUUGCCAUGAAUCUAUUUGAGAAUGCACUUGUUAAGGAGCAUUUUGAUAUUCGUGCUUGGACUACAAUUUCUCAAACUUAUAAUGUUAGAGAAACACUUAGAGAAGUUCUUUUUCGAGCAAGUGGAGGAGAUUCGAGUAGUGAUCUGAGUGAGAAUGAGUUGGGACAAAAUUUAUACCAGUUUUUGUUCGGUAGGAGAUAUCUCGUAAUAAUGGAUGAUAUGUGGAGCAUAGAGGCGUGGGAUAAGAUAAAAUUUUUCUUUCCUGAUAACCAAAAUGGGAGUCGAAUAAUCGUAACAACUAGGUUGUCUGACUUGAGUUCUCAGUUGAACGAGUCUUGUAUAGUGGGCAUGAAAUUUCUAGAUAAGGCUAGUAGUUGGGAUUUAUUUUGUAAGACAGUGUUCGGGAAAGAAAGUUGUCCAAUUGAGUUGGAGAAUAUUGGACAGAAUAUUGUAGCAAAUUGUAAAGGACUUCCUUUAUCAAUUGCUACAAUAGGAGGUCUUUUGGCAAAAUCUGAGCGCACAAAAGAAUGUUGGGAGCGUAUAGAGAAAAAUUUAAAUUCAAUUGUUAUUAACAGUAACGAUGAAUUUUGCUUGAAAAUAUUGAGGAUGAGUUAUAUCCUUCUGCCGAACUAUUUAAAGCCAUGUUUUUUGUAUAUGGUUGUUUUUAAGGAAGACUACCGUAUCCGUGUGUCAAUGCUUGCGAAGUUAUGGGUUUCUGAAGGAUUUAUAAAACCAAGGAGUGGAAAAUGUUUGGAAACACUUGCGCGAGAGUAUUUUAUGGAAUUGGUUGAUCGAAAUCUCGUUUUAGUUGAUCAAUUGGGGUGUACUGGAAACGUUAAGUAUUGUAAAAUUCAUGAUUUGUUGAGAGAUUUGUGUUUAAAAGAAGCUGAAAUGGAAAGAUUUUACCAUGUCAUAGGAGAUGAUCCUCCGGCCAGUAUUAGCGAACGUCGAGUCGUUCUUAAAACUGUAGGGUUGCUAGGAUCUUUGUCACAUACUCGUUCCAUAAUAUGUGAGUAUAACAAAGCAGCAUAUGAGGAUGAGAAAGUUCUGCCGUCUCGCGAUCUUAGAUUGUUGAGGACAUUCAGAGCAUGUCAUUAUGAUAGUUAUUUCCUAGAAAAUGUGAUUGAAUUGGUGAACUCACGGUACCUUGAUAUCAAAGUUCAUGCUGAGUCCAGAUUCUCUAGUUCAAUUGAUCUCCUUUGGAAUCUACAGACAUUGAUUAUUCAUUGUUGGACCGAUAUUCGUGUACCAAAUGAAAUUUGGAAACUGCAUCAACUUUGGCAUCUUGAAUUUCCGGCGUAUGAAUUGAUUCUCCCAAAUCCUCCUAGUGAGGAUAGUGACAUUGUGAUUAUGGAGAAUCUGCAGACACUCAAAGGAGUUAAGGAUUUGUUAUUGAAUGAGGAGGUGAUUAAAAGAAUUCCCAAUGUGAAGAAAUUGCAUUUAACAUACCAUUCGGAUCAAAUGGAGGGAGAAAGCUGCCUAAGCUAUCUUCAGUGCUUCAGUAAAUUGGAAAGCUUACGCUGCACCACCUUUGGUCGAUGUGGUGACUUUUGGAUGAGGAUUAAUUUUCCCAAUUCUAUCAAGAAGUUGGUUGUUGAAGACUUUUCUGUCACGCAUGGCAUAGAGUCGGAAGACAUAUUGCCUAAAAUCGGUUCGUUACCUCUUCUUGAAAAGCUCGUAUUAAGAUAUGGUGUCUUCCAAACAGGCAAGUGGGAAACAAUUGAAGGCCAGUUCAGGAACCUCAAAUUUCUACGGUGUUGGUAUUGGAAAGGUAUAGUAAACUGGAUUGUCUCAGACAGCUCCCACUUUCCACUUCUCGAGAAGCUUUGUCUCUAUGGUUUAUCCGAACUCGAGGAAAUCCCAUCUGAAGUUGGAGAAAUAGCAACGCUGAAAUCGAUUUCAUUGUAUAAAUGCAGUGAAGCAGCUGUGGCGUCAGCGAAAAAGAUAGUAGAAGAACGUGAGGAUCUAUAUGGAGAGCAAUUAGACCUUCAUGUGAGUAACUAGAAGAUGCCGAAAACCGUCAAGGCCGAGCUAGCUCAGAAAUUAUUAGAGUUGUAAUUUUUAAGAGCAAGCAUUGUGUUUCUUACUUAUGCUCUACUGUAAGAUCAUGAAUUGUGAUUCCAUGUAAUUUGUUUCCAAUCUUUUUUCAUUUCAUAAAUAUUGGAUUUGCAUAUGAGCUCUUAUUUCUGUCAGUGUUGUUGCUUGCUCUCACUGUGGUCUAGUCAAAAAAGGGCUUGCUUACUUCGACUCGAUGGAGAAGAUACACCUCAAGCCUCUGCGGUUUAUCUCCCAAUAUGUUGCACAAUCGGCACUUUUGCGCUAGCGUGAGUCCCUCCACAUCACCAAGCUUAUCGAACACCGCUUGACGUGCCUGACCAAGAUCAAACUCGUAUCCGAUUCUUGACGAAAUGACUUCCAACCUUGAGUUCGUCUCAACAUAUUUAGCAGGCACAGUAUUCAUGUUGAUAUUCCCAGAGCUAACUUGGUCGGCAACCGCUUCUUCUUCCGGUUCUUCGACUUCUUCAGGUGUCGGGGCUGCGACAAACGGAGGCUACGAGUCGCUCUCAUCACAUUCACUCCAUCCACCACCAGAGUCCCGAAGACGCGCAGCUGCAAUGGAUAUAUUCUCUGCUCCGGCACCAGUCUUUUCUGAAAAUCAAUUUCCAAGUCUCCCAUAAAGGCCACGACUUAUAACACAUGUAUUUCGCUUUAGGGUCAACCUUAUAAAACAGCUUAAAGUUAUUUUAAGCAACUACACAACACAUGUACAGUACACACAGAGUUAGUGGACGUCGAAUCACUUCACAACA